This 719-nucleotide unclassified non-coding RNA is filed under the name Exostigma notobellidiastrum. Its description in RNAcentral is "external transcribed spacer". The record is from RNAcentral. Lineage: Eukaryota; Viridiplantae; Streptophyta; Magnoliopsida; Asterales; Asteraceae.
AGGUGAGAGCUGGUGGGCAUUGGGCCAAAAGCCUCGAGUCGGCCUUCGUGCUUGACUUAUGUUGCUCAAGGCUUGAUGUUGAAGGCCUCCUAAGCUGCCUCCUGAGUGGUGACUUCGAUUUUGGUGAUCCCACAUCGGGGGAACUGUGACAACGUCUUGAUAUUCAAAUUGGUUCUCUUCGUAUCGUGCGGUACAUUCUGGGGUCGUAUUUGGCUUCUGGUUGUUUGCUUGGCUCUUUUGCCUUGCGGAUGGCUGUUUCCCAAGGCGGCUUCGGGGAUGUCUAUCGUAAAGGUGCAUGAGUGGUGUUUGGUUUGAUACGGGUGGUUGGCUCCCUGCUUGAGCAGGCACGACCACGCGUACAUUCCUUUUCAGUUGUGCGGCAAGGCUUGUAUUGUCUUGAUCGUAUAUGUGGGUUUCCUGUGUUGCAUACCUGAUCAACGGCAUCAUUUUGAUAAAAAAACGUACCAUUUUCGUCCGGUGUUGCACCUGCAAUGUCGGGUGAACCAUGUAGCAUCCUCUUUGAUCCAUAUAGUCGACGAGCAUUCGUUGAUUGUUUGGCCCAUUGAGUGGUGGCUUGGUCUCUCGAAUAUGGAAGCCAAAGUGGGCAUGGGUUCGUAUGAUCCUUUUAUUGCCCUUGUUGAGCGUUCUCGCUUCUCUUACACGACCGCCUUUCACGUAUGGCACGUCCCAGCGUGUUUGGCUACGUCGAAGAGGAAUGC